RNAcentral lists this long non-coding RNA (1194 nucleotides) under Zonotrichia albicollis (white-throated sparrow). RNAcentral's name for it is "lncRNA (ENSZALG00000005714.1)". Lineage: Eukaryota; Metazoa; Chordata; Aves; Passeriformes; Passerellidae. The record is from RNAcentral.
CAGGGCUGUGCCCAGGGCUCACCUGGCUCUGCAGGGCUCCCCGAGCAGGGGACACCAGGUGGUGCAAAGGCACCGUGCUGGAUCCGGUGCCAUCUGCCCUCCUGGCCAUGGGCACGGAGCCUCUUGGAUGUGCCAGGGAGUCCUGGCUGCCAGAGCAAUCCCUCGCUGCUGCUGACAGCUUGUAGGAGGGACAGGACUGUGUCCAGAUGGCCCCAGAUUUUGAGGAGCUGCACUGAGAGAUGGAAGCUGAACUCACCCCUCCCUGAGAGUGCUUUCUUCUCCCAUAUUCCCCAUUUCCUGCUCCUGUCAUCUGCCAUCCCUGACAGCACCAGCACUGGCAGUGCCGCCCCAUCCCCAGGCAGGCUGGCAACCAUCCCCACCUUCCCCAACCUGCCCUGCCUGCCACGUUCCCCCACCUCCCUGCUGAGGGCCAGCCUGGGCUGCUGGGUGCCCCUUUCUGUGUGCCCCUUUCUGGGUAACCCCUUUCUGUGUGUCCCUUUCUGUGUGCCCCUUUUCGGGUGCCCCUUUCUGUGUGCCCUUUCUGGGUGCCCCUCUCUGUGCACCCCUCUCUGUGUGCCCCUUUCCGUGUGCUCCUUUCUGUGUGUCCCUUUCUGUGUGCCCCUUUCAGUGUGCCCCUUUCUAGAUGCCCCUUUCUGGAUGCCCCUUUCUGUGUGUCCCUUUCUGUGUGCUCCUUUCUGUGCACCCCUCUCUGUGUGUCCCUUUUUGGGUCCCCCUUUCUGGGUGUCCCUUUUUGUGUGCUCCUUUCUGUGUCUCCCUCCUCACCACAGCCUCCUGUCUGUCUGCCCAUCCCAAAAACCAAGUGACAAAUCCCUUUUCCCACCAUGCUGUGCCUAUCCUCCAGAGAGACCCUUUAAGCUGCUUUUUUUCCAUCCUUCGGCAAGAUCAUACUUCUUACCCUCCCUUCCCAAAUGCCCAUCUUCCUUCUUUCACAUAUUUCAUUAUUUCUUACAAAAUCUCAGUUUCUUUUUCAUCAUCUUGGAUCCUCUGUUCAGCCAAAAUUUGUACAACUGCCUCUUUUCCUCCAUUCCCCCAAUCCUCCCUUCACGGCAUUCCUGCAUCAGAGUCCUUCUUUCCAAUCACUUGAGAAAUUAUACUGAGGUGACAGCUUUUAAAAACAUUGCCAAGACCAUAAUGGAUAUUAUGGUCAAAUGUAGCAGAAAAUCUGUCUCUUAA